RNAcentral lists this ribosomal RNA (38 nucleotides) under Mitrasacme pygmaea. RNAcentral's name for it is "partial 28S ribosomal RNA". Lineage: Eukaryota; Viridiplantae; Streptophyta; Magnoliopsida; Gentianales; Loganiaceae. The record is from RNAcentral. RNAcentral also lists the same sequence under 1 other name.
GCGACCCCAUGUCAGGCGGGAUUACCCGCUGAGUUUAA